This 1412-nucleotide long non-coding RNA is filed under the name Anser brachyrhynchus (Pink-footed goose). RNAcentral's name for it is "lncRNA (ENSABRG00000001907.1)". Lineage: Eukaryota; Metazoa; Chordata; Aves; Anseriformes; Anatidae. The record is from RNAcentral.
CCCCUGCUUAUCUUUCACCUUAGGUUUAAUCAUGAAAUAGUAAAACUUCUAACUGGUAAAAUGGCAAUGCUAUUACAUAGUUUGGGAAGGUGUAGGAAGAGAAAAGUAUAUUAUCACAGCUCCAAAGUUUUAUUUUUUUUUUAUAUUUAUUUUUUUAUUUCUGCAGAGUGCAGUUGGUGACACAACUUGCUGGCCAGUACAGUACAAGUCAUGUAUGCUGAUGGUUCUGAAGAAGAGACAAGACAGCAAAGACGUGGCAAGGAACAUCCUUUGGAGACUUACUGAACUGGUGAGCAUCUCUGCACGGUCUGAGACCUGGUUUAGAAUUGGAUGUAGGAAGUGGCAGAGCAUCCUGCUGGUCUUCAAGUUGAGCAGCUCUUGUCAAGUAUGUGGUAUGGCUGAUGCACUGCAGAGGGAAGUAUGGGAGGCAAGUUCCCACAUCCACCUCAUACAUAAUGACUGAACAUUAUUGUGUUGUAAUCCUGGAAGGGUAAUCCUGUAGCUGUGGCUGUUGCUGAGCCAGUGUCCUAGAUGAGCCAUCAUAUUUUACUGUAAAUGCAAGAAAUCUGUCUCUAUUUUUACUUACCUGUGUGAAGUCAUCCUGGCUCUAGGCCAAGAGAUGGCUGUUCAUGUUAACACAAGCAGGGCUAAAAUUUCUGUGAAUGAGUCAUAGAUUUCCGUUGUCUCAAUGAUUCACUGUUUGAUUUACUUGAACCACCUAAUAUUUUGGCAAUUAAGUACCACCAGGAAAAAAUAUACAGAAAACUACUCAGGCUGUUGUUUCUGAGAUGACUACUGAUACAACUAAAGGGCCAUUAUCCUUGUACAAUUGGACCUGUGAAUUGAUAGCAGUAACAGCAAUUUAAUAAGUUGUUUUUGUUUUUAGAGAGGUCAGGCCAGACUGAUUUUACCUACUUUGUAUAGUGCAGGAGUGAUUUCCUCACCUCGAUGUUGUGUCAGUUCUACAUGCAGCAAUCCUGCAACUACAGCUGAAGAAAGAGAGGAGUUGUUCUUUUUUUUGUUUUAAGGGACUUAUGUUAUGAUUGACCUCACCUUUUGCCUUUUAUGAAAAAGAAAAAAAAAAAAAGAUAAAAAUAGAGGACAGACACUGAUGCACAGAGAACGUAACAGGAAUAUUUCCUAAGAAAAACCACUGAACUGCAGCAGUCUAUGUACCAGAAGGAUUUUCAGUGAUUCACAGUUGUAUGUUGAAGUUUUCUCUCAUGUCUCCAGCAGAGAUGGAAAAAGAGACAGAGAAAAGAGACAUCCUUGAAAUUUGAGAGUCCUGCAGUUCAGAGGAAAGCUGUUAGGUGCCUGAUUCCAGUUUUCAUAGCAGUCCAAGAGGGCAAUUUGGCAUUCCUCAGGGUCAUGGCAGCAAUAAAAAGAGCAUAAGGAGAAAAGAAAUAGAUAUU